Molecule: ribosomal RNA, 508 nt
Filed under: uncultured bacterium
Lineage: Bacteria
Description: bacterial SSU rRNA
Rfam family: Bacterial small subunit ribosomal RNA
Source: RNAcentral
AUUGAACGCUGGCGGAAUGCUUUACACAUGCAAGUCGAACGGCAGCACGGGGCAACCUGGUGGCGAGUGGCGAACGGGUGAGUAAUACAUCGGAACGUGCCCAAUCGUGGGGGAUAACGUAGCGAAAGUUACGCUAAUACCGCAUACGAUCUACGGAUGAAAGCGGGGGAUCGCAAGACCUCGCGCGAAUGGAGCGGCCGAUGUCAGAUUAGGUAGUUGGUGGGGUAAAGGCUCACCAAGCCAACGAUCUGUAGCUGGUCUGAGAGGACGACCAGCCACACUGGAACUGAGACACGGUCCAGACUCCUACGGGAGGCAGCAGUGGGGAAUUUUGGACAAUGGGCGCAAGCCUGAUCCAGCCAUUCCGCGUGCAGGAUGAAGGCCUUCGGGUUGUAAACUGCUUUUGUACGGAACGAAACGGUCUGCCCUAAUACGGCGGGCUAAUGACGGUACCGUAAGAAUAAGCACCGGCUAACUACGUGCCAGCAGCCGCGGUAAACUCGUCUAC